This 582-nucleotide ribosomal RNA is filed under the name Triticum aestivum (bread wheat). Its description in RNAcentral is "partial small subunit ribosomal RNA". Lineage: Eukaryota; Viridiplantae; Streptophyta; Magnoliopsida; Poales; Poaceae. The record is from RNAcentral.
AUGGGCCCUCUUGUGGUAGACCCACAUGUCAUUGGUGUAACUAUUUACACUCCGGAGGACGGUGCCUAUAUCCUGGUAGUAGUACUAGUAGAAUUGAGAUUUAAUGCACUUUCUUCCCCGUCUUCCACUCUUCUUCCUCCUCUCUUCUUCUUCCUCCUCUCUUCCCCAACGUCGGCCGCACACCAUUUACCCCCGCUCACUGCUCGCCCGCCCGCGCCAUCUUCCUUGGUAGCUCGCGCAGAUUCGUCGACACAGCUUGUUGCCAGUUUGAAGCACUCCUCUGGUUUGAAGGAUAGAUACCUUCCUGGGAUCAAGUGCAUCCUAACUCACCUACUACCAUAUAACUGGAAUUACCGAUGCAAGUCGAAGAAGGAUUGGCCGAUGCUGCCGACUGGCGUCAAGUUUGAUCCCACAGAUCAGGAGCUGAUCGAGCACCUUGAGGCCAAAGUGAGUGUUGACAGCGCGAGAUUUCAGUCUCUCAUCGAUUUGUUCAUACCAACCAUCGACAGCGAGCACGGCAUAUGCUACACCCAACCUGAGAAACUUCCAGGUCGAGCAAGUUUCAACUGGGCUGUAGACUGA